This 80-nucleotide small nuclear RNA is filed under the name Hucho hucho (huchen). RNAcentral's name for it is "Flavo-1 RNA (ENSHHUG00000019604.1)". It matches the Rfam family "Flavo-1 RNA". Lineage: Eukaryota; Metazoa; Chordata; Actinopteri; Salmoniformes; Salmonidae. The record is from Rfam by way of RNAcentral.
AACUAGCCCUGAUAGAAGUGGAAAUCCUUUACUUUUUUUCUUUAAAAAAGUAAAGAUUGAAGCGGAUAGCAGGAAUAGCU